Molecule: ribosomal RNA, 534 nt
Filed under: Triticum aestivum (bread wheat)
Lineage: Eukaryota; Viridiplantae; Streptophyta; Magnoliopsida; Poales; Poaceae
Description: partial small subunit ribosomal RNA
Source: RNAcentral
AUGCAACAGAACUUCACCGACCUUCUUCAGUCUAGAGAGGGCACCGACGUGGUUUUCGAGGUCGGCGGCGAGACCCUCGCGGCCCGCUCUACCGUCUUCAGGGCAUUGCUCUUAGGCCCCAUGAAGAAGGAAGGCACGUCGACGGUGGUACAUGUAGAUGACAUGGACGCCACGGCGUUCGAGGCGAUGCUUGGGUUCAUUUGUGGUGAAUCUCUGCCGGUGCCGGCGGACCAUGAGAACGAGGGAGUCAUGCUACAGCACCUGCUCGUCGCGGCGGAUCGGUACGAUGUCCCGAGGCUCCGGUUGUUGUGUGAGAAGAAGCUAUGCGAGAACAUUUGCGUGAGUACGGCGAUGACCAUCUUGGCACUUGCUGAGCAGCAUGGAUGCAAUGGCCUGAAGAAGGCAUGCUACGAUUUCCUCCGGUUUCGGGAUAACCUGAGGGAGGCGUUGGCCACGGACGGCUUCGAUCAUCUCUGCAGGAGCUGCCCCACUGUUAUGAAGGACGUGAUCCUUGCCAUGCUUCAAUUUUCAUAG